UACAUAGGAGGCAAGCGUUAUCCGGAUUUAUUGGGCGUAAAGAGCGUUGAGGCGGUCUUGUAAGUUGGACGUGAAAGCUCCUGGCUCAACCAGGAGAGGUCGUUCAAUACUGCAGGACUUGAGGACAGCAGAGGGGGGUGGAAUUCCCGGUGUAGUGGUGAAAUGCGUAGAUACCGGGAGGAACACCAGUGGCGAAGGCGGCCCCCUGGGCUGUUCCUGACGCUGAAUGCGAAAGCUAGGGGAGCAAACGGGAUUAGAUACCCGCGUA
This 268-nucleotide ribosomal RNA is filed under the name uncultured prokaryote. RNAcentral describes it as "partial 16S ribosomal RNA". It matches the Rfam family "Bacterial small subunit ribosomal RNA", at positions 524 to 792 of the family's 1533-position model. The record is from RNAcentral.